UUAGAUCGUACCCACACUUACUUGGAUAACUGUGGUAAUUCUAGAGCUAAUACAUGCAAACAGAGCUCCGACCGGAGACGGAAGGAGCGCUUUUAUUAGAUCAAAACCGAUCGGUGGUGGGUUCGCGCCCAUCAUCGUACAAUUUGGUGAAUCUGAAUAACUUUAAGCUGAUCGCACGGUCUCGCACCGGCGACGCAUCUUUCAAAUGUCUGCCUUAUCAACUGUCGAUGGUAGGUUCUGCGCCUACCAUGGUUGUAACGGGUAACGGGGAAUCAGGGUUCGAUUCCGGAGAGGGAGCCUGAGAAACGGCUACCACAUCCAAGGAAGGCAGCAGGCGCGCAAAUUACCCACUCCCGGCACGGGGAGGUAGUGACGAAAAAUAACGAUACGGGACUCAUCCGAGGCCCCGUAAUCGGAAUGAGUACACUCUAAACCCUUUAACGAGGAUCAAUUGGAGGGCAAGUCUGGUGCCAGCAGCCGCGGUAAUUCCAGCUCCAAUAGCGUAUAUUAAAGUUGUUGCGGUUAAAAAGCUCGUAGUCGAAUCUGUGUCUCGCGCCGUCGGUUCAUCGUUCGCGGUGUUAACUGACGUGCCGCGGGACGUCCUGCCGGUGGGCUUAGCUCGAGAGAGCGGCCCAAAUCAAUCCUGCCGCGGUGCUCUUCAUUGAGUGUCGAGGUGGGCCGGCACGUUUACUUUGAACAAAUUAGAGUGCUUAAAGCAGGCUAAAUUUCGCCUGAAUACUGUGUGCAUGGAAUAAUGGAAUAGGACCUCGGUUCUAUUUUGUUGGUUUUCGGAACCCCGAGGUAAUGAUUAAUAGGAACGGAUGGGGGCAUUC
Molecule: ribosomal RNA, 833 nt
Filed under: Octotemnus sp. 4 TK-2020
Lineage: Eukaryota; Metazoa; Arthropoda; Insecta; Coleoptera; Ciidae
Description: SSU rRNA
Rfam family: Eukaryotic small subunit ribosomal RNA
Source: RNAcentral